Molecule: ribosomal RNA, 443 nt
Filed under: uncultured bacterium
Lineage: Bacteria
Description: partial 16S ribosomal RNA
Rfam family: Bacterial small subunit ribosomal RNA
Source: RNAcentral
CCUACGGGAGGCAGCAGUGGGGAAUAUUGCGCAAUGGGCGCAAGCCUGACCCAGCAACGCCGCGUGAAGGAAGAAGGCUUUCGGGUUGUAAACUUCUUUUCUGAGGGACGAAGAAAGUGACGGUACCUCAGGAAUAAGCCACGGCUAACUACGUGCCAGCAGCCGCGGUAAUACGUAGGCGGCAAGCGUUAUCCGGAUUGAUUGGUUGUAAAGGGCGGGUAGGCGGGAAAGCAAGUCAGAUGUGAAAACUCAGGGCUCAACCCUGAGCCUGCAUUUGAAACUGUUUUUCGUGAGUGCUGGAGAGGCAAUCGGAAUUCCGUGUGGAGCGGUGAAAUGCGUAGAUAUACGGAGGAACACCAGUGGCGAAGGCGGAUUGCUGGACAGUAACUGACGCUGAGGCGCGAAAGCGUGGGGAGCAAACAGGAUUAGAUACCCUUGUAGUC